Molecule: unclassified non-coding RNA, 383 nt
Filed under: soil metagenome
Description: partial contains 5.8S ribosomal RNA, internal transcribed spacer 2, and large subunit ribosomal RNA
Rfam family: 5.8S ribosomal RNA (bases 1-120)
Source: RNAcentral
GAUGAAGAACGUAGCGAAAUGCGAUAAGUAAUGUGAAUUGCAGAAUUCAGUGAAUCAUCGAAUCUUUGAACGCACCUUGCGCUCCUUGGUAUUCUGAGGAGCAUGCCUGUUUGAGUGUCAUGAAAUUCUCAACCUUUCUGGCUUUUGCUAGUCAGGCUUGGAUUAUGGGAGCUGCUGGCUUUUGAAGUCGGCUCUUCUAAAAUGUAUUAGCAAGAUCAUUGCUGCUCAUCAUUGGUAUGAUAAUUAUCUAUAUCAUUGAGAGUCAGUUUCCUUUAUUGGAAGAUUUUGCUCCUAACGGUCUUUAGCAAGACAACAUUUGACGAUUUUGACCUCAAAUCAGGUAGGACUACCCGCUGAACUUAAGCAUAUCAAUAAGCGGAGGA